This 708-nucleotide ribosomal RNA is filed under the name Sphaerimonospora mesophila. RNAcentral describes it as "bacterial SSU rRNA". It matches the Rfam family "Bacterial small subunit ribosomal RNA", at positions 75 to 803 of the family's 1533-position model. The record is from RNAcentral. Lineage: Bacteria; Bacillati; Actinomycetota; Actinomycetes; Streptosporangiales; Streptosporangiaceae.
GCCCUUCGGGGUACUCGAGCGGCGAACGGGUGAGUAACACGUGAGUAACCUGCCCCUGACUCUGGGAUAAGCCUGGGAAACCGGGUCUAAUACCGGAUACGACCAUCCCCGGCAUCUGGUGGUGGUGGAAAGUUUUUCGGUUGGGGAUGGGCUCGCGGCCUAUCAGCUUGUUGGUGGGGUGAUGGCCUACCAAGGCGACGACGGGUAGCCGGCCUGAGAGGGCGACCGGCCACACUGGGACUGAGACACGGCCCAGACUCCUACGGGAGGCAGCAGUGGGGAAUAUUGCGCAAUGGGCGGAAGCCUGACGCAGCGACGCCGCGUGGGGGAUGACGGCCUUCGGGUUGUAAACCUCUUUCGGCAGGGACGAAGUUGACGUGUACCUGUAGAAGAAGCGCCGGCUAACUACGUGCCAGCAGCCGCGGUAAUACGUAGGGCGCAAGCGUUGUCCGGAAUUAUUGGGCGUAAAGAGCUCGUAGGUGGCUUGUCGCGUCUGCCGUGAAAGCCCGUGGCUUAACUACGGGUCUGCGGUGGAUACGGGCAGGCUAGAGGCUGGUAGGGGCAAGUGGAAUUCCUGGUGUAGCGGUGAAAUGCGCAGAUAUCAGGAGGAACACCGGUGGCGAAGGCGGCUUGCUGGGCCAGUUCUGACGCUGAGGAGCGAAAGCGUGGGGAGCGAACAGGAUUAGAUACCCUGGUAGUCCACGCUGU